Molecule: ribosomal RNA, 195 nt
Filed under: Triticum aestivum (bread wheat)
Lineage: Eukaryota; Viridiplantae; Streptophyta; Magnoliopsida; Poales; Poaceae
Description: partial small subunit ribosomal RNA
Source: RNAcentral
GAUAACCCGUUUUCGGAGGAGGAGGUUUGGCAGGCGAUUUGUGCUUCUCCGCAGGAAAAAGCGCCUGGGCCGGAUGGCUUCAACAGAGCCUUCUUCCGAGCAUGCUGGUCGGUCAUUAAGCUCGAUGUCAUGGCAGUUUUCCACCAGUUCUAUCACCUAGCAGGAGGAGACGUGGCCGCAUCAACCGGGCAAUGA